Long non-coding RNA from Lepidothrix coronata (blue-crowned manakin), 1433 nucleotides. RefSeq lists it as uncharacterized. The record is from RefSeq and is a predicted model, not a curated record. Lineage: Eukaryota; Metazoa; Chordata; Aves; Passeriformes; Pipridae. The transcript is spliced from 3 exons.
GCCCUGGACACCAACCACUCCUCCUCCAUGUUCCAGGGGCUUGGGAAGCUCGUUGGGAAACUGCUCCAAGGAGGCUUUGGGACCUGCCAGAGCAGAGGGGAGAUGUGUCCAUGUGUGACCUUCUUGACAGACAUUUUGACCCCAGAAUAGCCUGAUUUGGUGAAAGGAGAGCGCGCAGCAGCCGACAGGGAGAGCUCUCACCACCCCCAGCGAGGCUGAGACUCGCUCUCGGGUUCCUCCCUUCAAGUUUGUCCCACUUUCUGGCCCACUAAAUGUCUGAUUGUCAACAUCAACAGUGAGAACUGCACAGCCUGUUCAGCACAGCUGGGAUGCACAGUGGGUAGAAACCUGGAUAGCUCUGCUGUGAAAACCUGAAACUAUCACCAUUUUUUACAGCCUUGGCCAUUUCACCUUGUAUUUGUUGGUGUCUACUUCUUUUUGUUUGGAAAAUUAUUUUUUUUGUUGUUGCUACUUAGAUAAAGGGAAUAUUUAGCAAAGCUUCUGUUUGGGAAUAGCCUUGAGAUGGAUGAGCAAGCAGUUCAGCUGUAGGUAACCAGGCAGCUGUUGCUGAUGGGAGAUGCACAUACUGGGUCAUUUAGUGAUGCACACACAAACCCACUGAGACUGACUGAGUCUGACUUCCCAACCCUGACAGGUAUUGCUUAGGCAGACUGUGAGAGUCUAGAAGCAAAAUGAGGUAUCUGUGGCCUGACCUUAUGUCCCAUAUUCUGUUAUGAAAGUCUGAAGAGAAACUGUCCCAUAUUCAGUACAGUUACGGUUGAUGUGGCUUGAAGAUAUCUGCAUUUAUGGAAUGAGGCUAUGGGAGAGCAGAGGUUUUUUUGCCAGCAAAUCCCUCCCUCAGCCUUUGAUGGUGGUAAAGGUGAAGGUAGAAGGAGCUUGGCCUUUUGGAAGCGUGCAGGGCAGAUAUGUUUUGGAAAGCUGCUGAAUUUCUGGUAAUUUAUUACUCAUCACAGCUCUUUCUUUAGGAGAUGAAUCAUGAGAGGACACUGUGUGUGCUGCCUGGCUCCCAGCUCCUGAAGCAACACCAAGCCCUGAUCCACAAGUGUUGCUUUCCUCGCUGAGACAACCCCCAACACCCCUCCUUCCUGCUGCACUGCCCUGAGAGAUUUUUUGCGUCAGGGAGGGCGUGAGCUCCACCGUGGGGGACACGAGCUCCGUGUCGGUGUGAGCUGCACCUGGAGGCACAAAUACCUGUUACCUCUCUGAAAUGGGGGGCACACAGGGGGCCCCACACCAGAAUUCCUGCUCUGCCACAGCAGGGAGGACGAGGAUAUUUUUGGGGGUGUUGUCCCCUGGAGCAGGAGGGGAGGCUGCCUUGCACUGGAUUCCUGGUCCUAGGAGACAGCCUGGCAUCUUCUGAGAAGGGGCACAGAGAGCAUGGAAGGAAGAAAAACAGGUCAGUGUUUGGAUAC